This 585-nucleotide ribosomal RNA is filed under the name uncultured bacterium. Its description in RNAcentral is "bacterial SSU rRNA". It matches the Rfam family "Bacterial small subunit ribosomal RNA", at positions 338 to 916 of the family's 1533-position model. The record is from RNAcentral.
CCUACGGGAGGCAGCAGUGGGGAAUAUUGGACAAUGGGCGAAAGCCUGAUCCAGCAAUACCGCGUGUGUGAAGAAGGCCUUCGGGUUGUAAAGCACUUUAGGUCGGAAAGAAAAAACUUUGGUUAAUACCUGAAGUCUUGACGGUACCGACAGAAUAAGCACCGGCUAACUCUGUGCCAGCAGCCGCGGUAAUACAGAGGGUGCGAGCGUUAAUCGGAUUUACUGGGCGUAAAGCGUGCGUAGGUGGCUAUUUAAGUCGGAUGUGAAAGCCCUGGGCUUAACCUGGGAACUGCAUUCGAUACUGGGUGGCUAGAGAUCGGUAGAGGGCAGCGGAAUUCCGGGUGUAGCGGUGAAAUGCGUAGAUAUCCGGAGGAACACCGAUGGCGAAGGCAACUGCCUGGGCCUGAUCUGACACUGAGGCACGAAAGCGUGGGUAGCAAACAGGAUUAGAUACCCUGGUAGUCCACGCUGUAAACGAUGAGAACUUGACGUCUGCUUGCUAUGCGAGUAGGUGUCGUAGCUAACGCGAUAAGUUCUCCGCCUGGGGAGUACGGCCGCAAGGUUGAAACUCAAAGGAAUUGACGG